Molecule: ribosomal RNA, 459 nt
Filed under: uncultured bacterium
Lineage: Bacteria
Description: partial 16S ribosomal RNA
Rfam family: Bacterial small subunit ribosomal RNA
Source: RNAcentral
CCUACGGGUGGCAGCAGUGAGGAAUAUUGGUCAAUGGGCGGGAGCCUGAACCAGCCAAGCCGCGUGAGGGAAGAAGGUACUGCGUAUCGUAAACCUCUUUUGUCAGGGAACAAAGGCGGGGACUAGUCCCCGGAUGAGGGUACCUGAAGAAAAAGCAUCGGCUACCUCCGUGCCAGCAGCCGCGGUAAUACGGGGGAUGCGGGCGUUGUCCGGAGUUAUUGGAGUUAAAGGGAGGGCGGGCGGACUGUUAGGUCAGCGGGAAAAGCCCGGGGCGAAACCCCGGCGAGCCGUUGAAACUGGGGGACUGGAGUGGGAGAGAGGUACGCGGAAUGCGCGGUGUAGGGGUGAAAUGCGUAGAUAUCGCGCAGAACCCCGGUGGCGAAGGCAGCGUACCGGCUCCUCACUAACGCUGAGGCACGAAAGCGUGGGUAUCGAACAGGAUUAGAUACCCGAGUAGUC